CAGCCGCCACGGUAAUACGAAGGGGGCUAGCGUUGUUCGGAAUUACUGGGCGUAAAGCGCACGUAGGCGGAUAUUUAAGUCAGGGGUGAAAUCCCGCAGCUCAACUGCGGAACUGCCUUUGAUACUGGGUAUCUUGAGUAUGGAAGAGGUUAGUGGAAUUGCGAGUGUAGAGGUGAAAUUCGUAGAUAUUCGCAGGAACACCAGUGGCGAAGGCGGCUAACUGGUCCAUAACUGACGCUGAGGUGCGAAAGCGUGGGGAGCGAACAGGAUUAGAUACCCGUGUAGUCCCUGUCUCUUAUAC
RNAcentral lists this ribosomal RNA (301 nucleotides) under uncultured bacterium. RNAcentral describes it as "partial 16S ribosomal RNA". It matches the Rfam family "Bacterial small subunit ribosomal RNA", at positions 509 to 807 of the family's 1533-position model. The record is from RNAcentral.